GCCUAACACAUGCAAGUCGAGGGGUAUAGUUCUUCGGAACUAGAGACCGGCGCACGGGUGCGUAACGCGUAUGCAAUCUACCUUAUACAGGGGAAUAGUCCAGAGAAAUUUGGAUUAAUGCCCCAUAGUAUUACGAAACGGCAUCGUUUUGUGAUUAAAGUUCCAACGGUAUAAGAUGAGCAUGCGUCCCAUUAGUUAGUUGGUAAGGUAACGGCUUACCAAGGCGAUGAUGGGUAGGGGUCCUGAGAGGGAGAUCCCCCACACUGGUACUGAGACACGGACCAGACUCCUACGGGAGGCAGCAGUGAGGAAUAUUGGUCAAUGGGCGCAAGCCUGAACCAGCCAUGCCGCGUGCAGGAAGAAUCAUCUAUGGUGUGUAAACUGCUUUUAUACAGGAAGAAACCUCCCUACGAGUAGGGACUUGACGGUACUGUAGGAAUAAGGAUCGGCUAACUCCGUGCCAGCAGCCGCGGUAAUAC
RNAcentral lists this ribosomal RNA (479 nucleotides) under uncultured Flavobacterium sp. Its description in RNAcentral is "bacterial SSU rRNA". It matches the Rfam family "Bacterial small subunit ribosomal RNA", at positions 46 to 526 of the family's 1533-position model. Lineage: Bacteria; Pseudomonadati; Bacteroidota; Flavobacteriia; Flavobacteriales; Flavobacteriaceae. The record is from RNAcentral.